UGUUGCCUACGGGACGCAGCAGUGAGGAAUAUUGGUCAAUGGGCGCGAGCCUGAACCAGCCAAGUCGCGUGAGGGAUGACGGCCCUACGAGUUGUAACCCUCUUUUGUCGGGGAGCAAAUUCCGUUACGUGUAACGGAGUCGAGAGUACCCGAAGAAAAAGCAUCGGCUAACUCCGUGCCAGCAGCCGCGGUAAUACGGAGGAUGCGAGCGUUAUCCGGAUUUAUUGGGUUUAAAGUGUGCGUAGGCGGACUGUCAAGUCAGCGGUAAAAUACGGGGGCUCAACCUCCGCACGCCGUUGAAACUG
Molecule: ribosomal RNA, 305 nt
Filed under: uncultured bacterium
Lineage: Bacteria
Description: bacterial SSU rRNA
Rfam family: Bacterial small subunit ribosomal RNA
Source: RNAcentral